This 253-nucleotide ribosomal RNA is filed under the name uncultured bacterium. RNAcentral's name for it is "partial 16S ribosomal RNA". It matches the Rfam family "Bacterial small subunit ribosomal RNA", at positions 524 to 776 of the family's 1533-position model. The record is from RNAcentral.
GACAGAGGCCUCGAGCGUUAGGCGGAAUCACUGGGCUUAAAGCGUGUGUAGGCGGAUCGUUAAGUGCCUUGUGAAAUCCCACGGCUUAACUGUGGAACGGCUGGGCAUACUGGCGGUCUUGAGCCAUCUAGGGGCGACUGGAACAAACGGUGGAGCGGUGAAAUGCGUAGAUAUCGUUUGGAACGCCAAUGGUGAAAACAGGUCGCUGGGGAUGUGCUGACGCUGAGACACGAAAGCCAGGGGAGCAAACGGG